GCAUCAGGUUGACACACCGGUUCCUGUAUGAUCACCGAAGUUAAGCAACGUCGAGCCGGUUCUGUACGUAGAUGGGUGACAGCUUGAGAAUACCAG
Acanthosepion pharaonis is the source of this 96-nucleotide non-coding RNA. NCBI's taxonomy places the organism in Eukaryota, Metazoa, Mollusca, Cephalopoda, Sepiida, Sepiidae. The record is from the annotation of a GenBank genome assembly.